AGUUUUUCUGCUGUUGUAGUAACAUGUUGAGACUCUGAACCAGCGAUGGAGCAGCUCCUGUUUCAGCCUCAGUGACUCCUGUGACAUCAGACAGAUUCUGAGCAGCCUGUGAGCACAGUGUCUGUAUUUAAAGAGCUUCUGUCUGAUACUUUUUGUCACAUAAUAGAAAACUGUAGAGAAGCAAAGUGUGACUUUACUACAACAUGAAACUCAGGAUUCAGAUUCGUCCAACAUUAGACUCCUAUUAAACAAAGAUUCACUUUAAUACAAGUCACAGCAGGUGUUUAGCUCUGGACCUUUGGCUUUUUCAGAAGAUGAGUGUUUGUGUGGAGGAAGAGGAUGGAGCAGAGUCUACAGGAUCCAGAUAUGUGUCUAUGAAGAAGGACUGGUCCAAAUGUGAGCCUCCAUCAUUCAGUCCUGAACCUGGAGCCUCAGACACAAAGUAAGAAGUGAUCUAAAGUCACUGAUAUGAAUCAUUGUUGGUUUAUCUUCUUUGUCCUGUAGCUUCAUCUCUUAUAAACUGACUGUAUGAAUUUCUAUAUGAACCUGACUGUGAUCUUCCAGGAAGUUCAUGUUCUUCUGGAUGAACUUCAUGCCAAUAAACGUGAUCAUUAAGAUGAACAAUGAAAUGACUGAUGACAGAGAAAUGGUUUGUUGGGUCUCAGUGUCUCUGACGGCUGUCAAUCACAGAGAACAGCUGAAAUCUGAUCUGAUCCAAAGUGUAAACCAUCCUAAUGAUCUACAGCAGCAGUAGUUUUAGUUUUGAGCCACAGAAAUGACUUUGAUCAGAGAACUGAACAGUGACUGAUGUGAUAUGAAUGAAAACAUGUUUGUGUUUACAGAGUUCAGAACCACGGACAAAGAGCAGAACCUCCAGGAACCAGCUCUGUGUCUAUGAAGAGUAACCAAUCCAGAAUUCCUCCUCUAAACUUCAGUAAUGAACCUGGAACCUCAGACACAAAAGAGAAGAAGAGGAGUCAUGUUCUUGAGGAGGAGCAGCCGUCCUGCUGUGCUGUGUGUCAGGAGGUUCUGAAGGAUCCAGUCUCUAGCAGCUGUGGCCACUGGUUCUGCAGACAGUGCAUCACCUCAUACUGGAACCAGUCUGGACCAUCAGGAGACUUCUCCUGUCCCCAGUGUGCGAAACAAUCCAGAACCAGAGCUGGGCUACAUACGGGCCGUCGGACCAGCACCGUCCAACGUAAGACUGAACAUGUGUCUGAUGAUGUCAUCGUUUCAACCAGACUGACUUUGAUACUUUCAUAUUUCU
This 1267-nucleotide long non-coding RNA is filed under the name Betta splendens (Siamese fighting fish). RNAcentral describes it as "lncRNA (ENSBSLG00000001409.1)". Lineage: Eukaryota; Metazoa; Chordata; Actinopteri; Anabantiformes; Osphronemidae. The record is from RNAcentral.